RNAcentral lists this microRNA precursor (103 nucleotides) under Marmota monax (woodchuck). The record is from RNAcentral. Lineage: Eukaryota; Metazoa; Chordata; Mammalia; Rodentia; Sciuridae.
AGUGAGAUAGCUGUGUCAAAUGGUGAUUUCAUUCCAGAUUUUCUAAGAAAUCUCCAUACUGCUUUCCAGAUUGGCUGCACCAAUUUGCAGUCCCAUCAGCAAU